This is a long non-coding RNA of Homo sapiens (human), 1844 nucleotides long. The record is from Ensembl. NCBI's taxonomy places the organism in Eukaryota, Metazoa, Chordata, Mammalia, Primates, Hominidae.
GGCGGGUUCUGGACAGACCUACGCUGUCGGGGAGUGUUUACUUCGCCUCCACUUCUGUUCCUCCCCGCCCUGGUGCUGCUCCAGGUCACAUACUCUUCCUGAGCCGGCUUCAGCCUCUCCGCGCAGAAGUCUCCCGGAGCCAUGGCCUAGUAUUCUUAUGUGAAGUCUACCAAGCUUGUGCUCAAGGGAACCGAGAUUUGCCUGAGGUUGACUGUACAUGCAAAUAUUGAGCUUUCCUCCUGGCCUCCGUGAUAAACAGAAGUUUUGAUAUUGUUAGGCGAGAUGGAAAGAAAGUAUCAAGGAGUGAGCUGAAGCCACUGCCCUUGAGAACCCUCUCGAGGAGUCUGGCCUCAUGAAGAUGCCAGAAUAAAUGGCAGUAAGAAGAAAAAGAGCAAAGAUAAGAAGAGAAAAAGAGAAGAUGAAGAAACCCAGCUUGAUAUGUUGGAAUCUGGUGAACAGUAACAAACUUUGGUGAAAUUUCAGGAACCAUAGCCAUUGAAGUGGAUGAGGGAACCUAUAUACAUGCACUCAACAAUGGUCUUUUUACCCUGGGAGCUCCACACAAAGAAGAAUCGCCCUGAAACCUGGCUAUGGAAAAUAUCUUAGUAUAAAUUCAGAUGAACUUGUUGUUGGCGUUCAGAUGCAAUUGGACCAAGAGAACAAUGGGAACCAGUCUUUCAAAAUCAAGAGGUCAGAAAUGGUGGGCCAGCUGAGAUGGGAGAAGAAAAGAGAAAUGGCACAAAGUGGAGAGAAGACACCGACCAUACCUCCUUUCCUCUCUUUCCCACCACAGGUGGACAGCCCAAAGCACACUCCAACUGGAGGAAGGUUUGCCAUUAAAGAUAAGCUGCUGCUGAUGAUCUUCAAGCAGAUCCUGAGGCAAAGAUGUAAAUUUCCAACCUUACCUUGAACUACGGUCAACAUUUUCCUGGAAGUCUUAAGUUAAAGCCAGGACUGCUUCUUCCAGAGUUUUACUAAACAGUAGUGAUAUUCAACGUCAAAGUUACAGACGUAUUGGGUUGAAAUUAAUUCUGCUUAUCUGAUGUUAUCUACCACCUUGGGGGUAAUACAGGUCUCUCUCCCUACCCCCACCCCUACCCCCACACCAACCCACACGAAUGACUUUCACUCGGAGUAUAAUCAGAACUUUUGCUGCCCUCACAAAUAAGGAAUAGUGAAGAGAUUAUGAGGCUUGAGCCAGAUUAUCUGGUACCAAUAUUGACUAAUUUAUUCUGUGUGACCUUGGGCAAUUACUUAACGUCUCAUCAUCAUAUUUUUCUGUAAAUACAAUGUCAAUAAUAGUGCCUGCCUCAAAUACUUCUGAAGGUUUGUAUGACAAUCAAACAACAUACUAUAUAACAUAGUGGUCCCCAACCUUUUUGGCACCAUGGACCGGUUUCAUGGAAGACAAUUUUUCCACAGACUCGGGGAGGGGGAUGAUUUGGGGAUGAUUCGAGAACAUUCCAUUUAUUGUGCACUUUAUUUCUAUUAUUAUUAUGUUGUAAUAUAUACUGAAAUAAUUAUACAACACACCAUAAUGUAGAAUCAGUGGGAGCCCUGAGCUUGUUUUCCUGAAACUAGAUGGUUCCCAUCUGGAGAUGAUGGGAGACAGUGACAGAUCAUCAGGCAUUAGAUUCUCAUAAGGAGCAUGCAACCUAGACUCCUCACAUGCACAGUUCACAGUAGGAUUUGCUCUCCUAUGAGAAUCUAAUCCUGCCACCGAUCUGACAGGAGGUGGCACUCAUGCAGUAAUGCUCACUCACCUGCUAUGUGGCCUGGGGUUGGGGAUCUCUGCUGUAAUAGAGUUCACUUGUAAAUAAAAAUGCUUUCCUGAGCACACAAAA